CACGUAGGCGGGAACUUAAGUCAGGUGUGAAAGACCGGGGCUCAACUCCGGGGUUGCACUUGGAACUGGGUUUCUUGAGGGCAGGAGAGGAAAGCAGAAUUCCUGGUGUAGCGGUGAAAUGCGUAGAAAUCAGGAGGAAUACCAGUGGCGAAGGCGGCUUUCUGGACUGACCCUGACGCUGAGGUGCGAAAGCGUGGGUAGCAAACA
RNAcentral lists this ribosomal RNA (207 nucleotides) under uncultured Syntrophomonadaceae bacterium. RNAcentral describes it as "partial 16S ribosomal RNA". It matches the Rfam family "Bacterial small subunit ribosomal RNA", at positions 568 to 774 of the family's 1533-position model. The record is from RNAcentral. Lineage: Bacteria; Bacillati; Bacillota; Clostridia; Eubacteriales; Syntrophomonadaceae.